This 64-nucleotide transfer RNA is filed under the name Opatrum sabulosum. RNAcentral's name for it is "tRNA-Phe". Lineage: Eukaryota; Metazoa; Arthropoda; Insecta; Coleoptera; Tenebrionidae. The record is from RNAcentral.
ACUUAAAUAGCUUAUAUUUAGAGCAUAAUAUUGAAGAUAUUAAGGAAACUAUGGUUUUUAAGUA